AUGUACCACUCUUACACUGCGGUUCUGAGCGCGACGUCCGCACCCACCUUACGACUGCCCGCUACGUGUUGGUAGAU
RNAcentral lists this small RNA (77 nucleotides) under Xanthomonas citri. Its description in RNAcentral is "sX9 sRNA". It matches the Rfam family "Xanthomonas sRNA sX9". RNAcentral also lists the same sequence under 10 other names. The record is from RNAcentral. Lineage: Bacteria; Pseudomonadati; Pseudomonadota; Gammaproteobacteria; Lysobacterales; Lysobacteraceae.